GAGAAGAAAGAUAACGAAAACAACUAUGGAAAACAGAGGACUCCCUCUAAGAUCAAUCAUCUCACAUUCUCUCUGGAUAACACUAGUUGGAAUCCUUCUCUUCAGUCUCUCCACCACAAAAAAACACAACUUUGGUUACACCAAAUUCUUUUCUAUAUGCGGAACGUUACUCAUGACCAUACCUUGGAUAAUCCAACUUCUUCUCACUUCUGCUGUCAUAUUACUGCAUAAGAGUAUAGGUUACAACCUUAUGUGGGUUGUUCGGCCACCAAAAUCAUCUAAAGAGAAUCAUCAUCCCACUAAUGUCGUCACUAUCUCUUCUUCUUCUCCAUCAUCUCCUCUUUCGUCCGGCCAGGCUCUCAAGAACGGCGACGCGGGUGAGAUCGAGAUUAGGAUUGUGAUUCCAAGAAGUCCAAACUCAACUCAUUUGGAGAUUGAAGGAAGAAACAACUCCAAACUUCUUGCAAAUGGAUCACCUGUUUCUUAAAAUGUGACUACUCUCUUCUUGUUCUGUUUUGCUUCUUUUUUCAUUUCUCUUUUCUUUAAAGACUAUGAUCUGAAACUUGUAGUGCUUACAAUAUUUCCGUUGUAAGUUUCCAUUAGUAAUUGCUAUUUUAUAAUUCAUAUUUAAAUCUCUAUUAACAAGUGGACUAGUAUGUAGCUAAACGAAUACACACUGACUACACAGAUUCACAUUCACAUUCACAUUCCUUUUUACUUAGUUUUUCCAUAUGUGAUUGUGUGAUGGAGGAGAGGCUGAUGGUGCUAAAGAGCUUCUUGAAAUGAAGACUAUAGCCACUAUGAGAUAAAAAAAAAGGGAUGGUGGUUGAAAGCUUAUAUUCAUUUUAAAGGAAAACAAGAAAAUACAAAUUAAACCAACAGGGAUAAGACUGGACAUUACUUUCUGACAAAUUCAUUGAUCCGAGACAAAGUGAGAGAGAUACAAACAACAAUCUUGAAAGCUAGAAGAUCUGCUUUCUUCUAUAUGUACAUUUGGUGUUUACCUAUGACUAACGAUCUUAUUAUCCAAUGUGUGCCAUCACGGCUCAUUCUUUUGAAGGGGAGCCAUUGACAAAGGAAGAAGAGAUGGAGGAAGCUGACCAGUUACUUGAAGCUACAAGAGAGGCUGCAUCAAUCAAAACCGAAGAAUGACUACUAACCCCCACAGUAUAUGGUGAAACAUCAGGCAAAGGCAGGCUGUUGUUUAAGUAUAAAACCACUUGUUCCAUCGUAGGCCUCGAUUCCGGCACAGUACUUGAACAUAGCAAACCAAGUUUCAUAACCAUCUCCACUUCCUCUUGCAAGAACUCAUAUCCCAGUCUCGGGUCAACAGCCUCAAGCAAAGCAUCCCUUUUCCAGCACUCACAAACCCAUUUGAUCAGAAGCCGUUUCUCGCAUUGUAACUGUGGUUCCACAGGUCUCCUCCCACAUGUCACUUCAAGCAUGAAAACACCAAAGGCAUACACAUCAGUUCCAGUGGAAGCCACCAUAUCGAUCACUUCCGGCGCAAUGUACCCUAUAGUUCCAACGGCUCCUGUUGGGUAUGCAUACCCUCCAUGGUCAUGAAACCUCGCCAUACCAAAAUCCCCUAGCCUUCCAUUGAACUCACCGUCCAACAUAAUGUUUGAAGAUUUGAUAUCUCUAUGCAGAACAACCUGAUCAGCACCUGUGUGCAAGUAACAAAGAGCAGAAGCUAUCCCUUUAAGGAUCACAAGCCUCUGAGGCCAAGAGAGUACUGGUUUCUCGUCAUCAAACAAAUGCUCGUCAAGACUACCGUUGGGCAUGUACUCAGAGACCAAAAGAAGCUCAUGCUUUCUCCUGCAGUAACCAAGAAGCGGAACAAGGUUCCUGUGUUUCAGACACCUCAUGCUCACCACUUCAGACACAAACUGCUUCACACCUUGAUCAUCAUUAUGGAACAUUCUCUUGACAGCUAUCUCUCUGCUUCGCAGGAGAGUUCCUCUGUACACUUCUCCAAAGCCUCCUUUUCCAAGAAACCCAUCCUUGUUGAACCCUUUUGUUGCGUUGUAUAAGGACUCGUAAGAGAAUCUGUGUGCACCAAACUCCUUUUCCCAUUCUUCAGUUACUUCUGCAUACUUACACUUCUUGAAAAGAUACACUCCUAUAACAACACCCAAGCCCAUGGUAGCUAUAAAACCAAGCAGGAUUGUGAUUAGUUGAGAAUAAUUCUUAUGUUCAGAUCACUUUCCCAAUUGGGAGGAGAAGAAAGAUAACGAAAACAACUAUGGAAAACAGAGGACUCCCUCUAAGAUCAAUCAUCUCACAUUCUCUCUGGAUAACACUAGUUGGAAUCCUUCUCUUCAGUCUCUCCACCACAAAAAAACACAACUUUGGUUACACCAAAUUCUUUUCUAUAUGCGGAACGUUACUCAUGACCAUACCUUGGAUAAUCCAACUUCUUCUCACUUCUGC
RNAcentral lists this long non-coding RNA (2433 nucleotides) under Brassica napus (rape). RNAcentral's name for it is "long non-coding RNA (BNAP_LNC017290)". Lineage: Eukaryota; Viridiplantae; Streptophyta; Magnoliopsida; Brassicales; Brassicaceae. The record is from RNAcentral.